GAACAUUUUCAUAAGCUCUUAAAGGUGCACUAUGAGUUCCUGCAUGACGACACUUCUGUUGAUGUUCCAUGUAAA
This is a long non-coding RNA of Etheostoma cragini (Arkansas darter), 75 nucleotides long. RefSeq lists it as uncharacterized. The transcript is spliced from 3 exons. The record is from RefSeq and is a predicted model, not a curated record. Lineage: Eukaryota; Metazoa; Chordata; Actinopteri; Perciformes; Percidae.